This is a long non-coding RNA of Salvia miltiorrhiza (redroot sage), 3362 nucleotides long. RefSeq lists it as uncharacterized. The record is from RefSeq and is a predicted model, not a curated record. The transcript is spliced from 2 exons. NCBI's taxonomy places the organism in Eukaryota, Viridiplantae, Streptophyta, Magnoliopsida, Lamiales, Lamiaceae.
AUUAUUAUUUCCAAGUUGUAACUGACUUAGCAAAGUCAUGUUAUUUAUUAAUCGAAAAACAGAAGCAGUUAUAUUUAUUAGUGCAUAGAAGUCGAGGAAUUAUUUCGACUGCAACGCAGAUUAAAUCUACGGAUUUAAUUUAAGUUAUAUUACAGUUUAUUAAGUUAGCAGGAAAGGAAAAAGAUAUCAAGCAAGAUACAGAAAUGAGAUGAUUGAAAAUCGAAGCCAAUAUUUUAUUACAGUAUUAGCAUCACCAAGGCAUGAGGAUAUACUUCAUUUAUUCAUCAAUCUCAUUCUCAUACUUUACAAACUCUUACAACCAAUUUUCGUUCAUACCUUCCAAUUACACCACAAUAAAUUGGCAUUUGCAUAAAGAAGAAAAGAGAAAGAAGAAUAAGAAAAGGGAAAAGGAAAAGGUGUGUCCACCAAGCUUUGCUCUCCACCAAGCUUUGCACUCCACCAACUCCCUUCCCCACCACCACACGCAAGAAUGCAUUAACAUUACCUUAUACCUGCAGCAAUGUUAUAACAGAGAAUUUCUUGCAUAGUCGAACACCAUCACAAACAUCAAUUUACAGCAACUCACUCCCACCCAUCAUCUGGAGAAAUCAACAACAAAAGCCACCAACAACAAGCAUAGAAGGUAUAUACUAAGCUCAGCUCCAGUUCAUACAUCAUAUCAUCAAGCAUAUGUUUAAAAGGAAAUACAUAGUAUACAAGUGUGUAUAUAUAUGCAUAGAUGGAUUAAGCAAUCACGAAAUCAAAUUUUUACCUAUGUUUCCUUCACAAGGCACUAAGAAACUCUUGAUACAGAAACAGACCACUAUAGCUAGUAGAACCCUUGCAUAAUCGACAUAGAAUAAAAGCUUCAGGAAAUGGGUGUAUAUUACACUUUGAUAGCUAUAAUUCAUCAAGAGAUUCACGAACGAGGAUUUAUAAUAGCAUAGAAGUUAAACUUAGCUUUGGAGAAUAAGGGCCGACUGCCCAAGCAACUGCCGAACCCCGACGCCGGACGGAACUGGCGGAAGCUGAACGACGCCGGACCUAAGCUCGGCGGCAGCCGACGCCGGUUGGAGCAUAGAAGGCGACUGAAUCUCGACUGAUGUUGAGAGAGGCCGACUGAUUCUCCGGAUUCCGAACGAAGGAGCAGCAGCGACCGACGACGGCGCUCUCCCAGACGACGACCGCUGACCACCGGACGAGCAGCAGCAGUCGGCGGCGACUCCAGGCGAAGCAGCAGCCGCUCCAGACGGCGGCGAUGGCUCCAGACAAGGGCGUGACAGCAGCGGCGACCUUCCCGAUUUCAGGGCUCGACGUCAGAGCGGGAUUUAUGAGGAUGGGAGACGAACGGCGCUGCUUCCAGGAGGCGACCGCCCGUCGGAUUCCAGAUGGAGGUGCGACAUCGGCGAUGACUUCCUUAGAUUCAGGGCUCGAUUGGGUUCUGCGGAUGGACCAAAGGAGCAGAAAGAGAACGGUGCCGGGGUUAGACGCGUCAACAGACGACGCCGGCCGAAGCAAGCGACGGCUGAACGGCCGGAGAAGGCAGCCGACCAGAUUUAGCGGAGGAGAAUAAGCCGAUCGGCUUUGUGAGAAAGGUGAGAAUGUGUUUUGAGUUAGAGAGAGAGACCGACAUUUUAAGAGAGAGAGAUUCAAUUGGGCUUUAUUUUAUUUUCUCUUGGGCCGAGAUAUUGGGCCUUGUUUUAACUGUUGUGGGCUACAGAUUUUAAGUGUUUUGGGCCUGGAUUGUUGGGCUUUGGCUAUUGGGCCGAAAAUGUAGAAGGAAAGAGUGAAUGGGCUUAAGUUGUUGGGCCGGUUUUUAUUCUAUUAUGUUGGGCCUCUGAUUUUUAGAAUGGGCUUAAUUUUAUUUCUUUUGUUUGGGCUUUCAUAUUUAAUUGUUUGGGCUUUUCCCUUUUAAUUUUCGGGCUUGAAUUUUAAUGGCUUGGGCUUCACAUCUAAAUUCGAAUUGGGCCUUUAUCUAUAUUAUUUGGGCAGAAUUAUUUGAGCUUGGGUUUGUUUUAUUUUAAAGGAAUUGAGCUUCCAAUUUAAUUGAUUGGGCUUUCAUUAAAUUCGAACUGGGCCAAUCUUUAAUUUAAUUGGCCUUCUCAUUAAUUCUAUUGGGCUUGAUUUAUUUAAGGAAUUGGGCUGAUGCAUAUUUUAUGAUGGGCUAUUAUUCCAAACCUCAAUUAUUAUUUGGACCCCUAUUUUAAUUGUUUUGGGUCGAAGACUUUUUAAGAUGGGCUUUAAUUCUUUUAAAGCUUGAGCUGAAGUUACUCAUUUGAGCUAAGCCUAGCAGUAUCAAUUUUUGAUGGAGCCCAAUUAUUUAUCAGUGGGUGAGCCGAUUCGUAUUCAGUAAAUGAGCCGCCCAGUUUAUUAAUUAUUGUUUUGGACUUCAGACUUUAAAGCAAGCUAUUAUGGUUUAUUUCAUUAAAGCCCAACUACAUUGUAUUUUAAUUGGGCUGUUGUAUUAUCUGAGCUGGACCUUGAUUGAUUUAUUUAUUUGAGCCCAACUAACCAAUUAUUUUACUUCAGUUGGGCCUUAUUUAUUUUAUUCAGAUGGGCCUCUAUUACUUCAUUUCAAUUGGGCCCUUUAUAUAAUUAUUCAGGCCCACUUUUACUUAAUUAAUUAUUAGGCUGCCUUAUGUCGAGUCUUUUAAUUAAUUAAACUUACAACAAUACUUUCUUCCAUUUAUUAAGCCCGAUUGAGUUUUUGAGGUUAUAAGACGAAUAAGUUGAAGUAUUUAUUUAUUUAUUUUCUAUUGACUACGAGGAGCGGGGUUUAUUAAAUUGACGGUUUAGAACAUCCCGAAGAGAACGGAUUAAUUUUAGUUAAUUAUCCGGCUUCAUGAGACGAGACUUAGCUUUUGUUUAAAUCCGAUAGCCUGGAUUAACAAUAGAAAUUCCCUGAUUAUUGCUCAGAAGAUUAGUUCAUGCAUACCAGAUUCAUGCAUAAUAGUUAAAUUACGCUUUCUCAUUAAUUGAGAAUUUUCCUCGAGCCAAUGUCUUAUUUUAUAUUCUCGUGAUUAAGGUCAAGAGCGAGAGUAAGAACUAUUCAAGGAGUCACAGUACCUUAGCAAAACUUUGCUAUCAGGUUGAGUUGUGAUGGGCGAUGAAGUGUUGCUGAGUGGAGUUUUUGUUGAACUUAAAGUAGGCUCAGAAAGGAUACAUGUCUUCAUACAUGUAUCUCAGUUAUGCAUUCCGCUGUAAACACUAAUUAUUUCAGUUACACCUUCCGUUGCAAACUCUGAUAAUGUUUUAGCCAAGCCCCUAACGAUGCCUUUUUCCUUUUAAGGAAUAUAACGCUUAUACAAGUUCGUUGAGUACCCUUUUUAUGCGAACUAUGCCUUUUUCCUUUUUAAGGAAUA